AUCGUUCGUCUGACUUGGGU
This 20-nucleotide small nuclear RNA is filed under the name Arabidopsis thaliana (thale cress). Its description in RNAcentral is "snRNA_03656". The record is from RNAcentral. Lineage: Eukaryota; Viridiplantae; Streptophyta; Magnoliopsida; Brassicales; Brassicaceae.